GAUGAACGCUAGCGGCAGGCCUAACACAUGCAAGUCGAGGGGUAGGAGCAGCUUGCUGCUUUGAGACCGGCGCACGGGUGCGUAACGCGUAUGCAAUCUACCUUGUACAGGGGAAUAGCCCAGAGAAAUUUGGAUUAAUGCCCCAUGGUAUUGUUUAAUGGCAUCAUUAGACACUUAAAGUUCCAACGGUACAAGAUGAGCAUGCGUCCCAUUAGUUAGUUGGUAAGGUAACGGCUUACCAAGACAAUGAUGGGUAGGGGUCCUGAGAGGGAGAUCCCCCACACUGGUACUGAGACACGGACCAGACUCCUACGGGAGGCAGCAGUGAGGAAUAUUGGACAAUGGGCGCAAGCCUGAUCCAGCCAUGCCGCGUGCAGGAAGACGGUCCUAUGGAUUGUAAACUGCUUUUAUACGAGAAGAAACAUCCCGACGAGUCGGGA
This 440-nucleotide ribosomal RNA is filed under the name uncultured Flavobacterium sp. RNAcentral describes it as "bacterial SSU rRNA". It matches the Rfam family "Bacterial small subunit ribosomal RNA", at positions 28 to 468 of the family's 1533-position model. Lineage: Bacteria; Pseudomonadati; Bacteroidota; Flavobacteriia; Flavobacteriales; Flavobacteriaceae. The record is from RNAcentral.